AACGCGAAGAACCUUACCUGGAUUUGACAUCCUUUGACAUCUGUAGAGAUACAGCUUUCGUAGCAAUACGACAAAGAGACAGGUGCUGCAUGGCUGUCGUCAGCUCGUGUGGUGACAUGUUGGGUUAAGUCCCGCAACGAGCGCAACCCCUGUCCUUAGUUGCCAGCAUUCAGUUGGGCACUCUAAGGAGACUGCCGUGGUUAACACGGAGGAAGGUGGGGAUGACGUCAAGUCCUCAUGGCCUUUAUAUCCAGGGCGACACACGUGAUACAAUGGACGGUACAGAGGGAAGCGAAACCGCGAGGUGGAGCCAAUCUCAAAAAGCCGUUCUCAGUUCGGAUUGGAGUCUGCAACUCGACUCCAUGAAGUUGGAAUCGCUAGUAAUCGCGGAUCAGCACGCCGCGGUGAAUACGUUCCCGGGCCUUGUACACACCGUAGAGAC
This 442-nucleotide ribosomal RNA is filed under the name uncultured bacterium. RNAcentral's name for it is "bacterial SSU rRNA". It matches the Rfam family "Bacterial small subunit ribosomal RNA", at positions 958 to 1400 of the family's 1533-position model. The record is from RNAcentral.